UAAUUAUUAUAAUGAUAAGUAAUAAUAAUGAAUAAUAAUAAUAGUAGUAUUUUGGAUACUUUUAGAUGAUAUUUAUAAAUAAAUAAUAUUAAUAAUCAUAAAUUAUUAAUAAUAAUAAUUAAUGAUAAUAAUUAUUUUAUAUUAUUUGUAUUAAUAUAUUAAUACUUGAUGAUGAUAUAUAAUAACAAUAAUAUCUUAGAAGUAAAUUAAUAUUACUAUUUUAAUAAUUAUAUUUAAUAAUAUAAUAAUAAUUAGUAAUAAAAAUAAUGAUUGGGUUGGCCCGUGAAAAUUACAUCAUAAACCGUCUUGACGCGAUUUGAUUGGUUUAUGGGCUGAAAAACGUGGGUUUAUUUGUGUUUUGACCUAAACCAUCUUCCUCCUAAUAAUAAUAGUAAUAAGAAUGAGUAAAGCUAUAAUAAAUAAAAUAAUAUAUAGAAACAACAACAGCAAUAAUAAUAAUAAUAAUAAUAAUAAUAAUAAUAAUAAUUAAUAGUAAUGAUAUAAAAAUAAAUAAUAAUAAUAAUAAUAAUAAUAAUAAUAAUAAUAAUAAUAAUAAUAAAUUAUACCAACAUAAUAAUAAUAUUUAACAAAAUGAUUAUAAAAGAAUGGAGUUGAGCUGAACUGAACUGAAAAUAAGCUGGGGAGAACAUGCCCUAAAUGUCCACUUGUGAGUUCCUACAUUGGAGAAAGAGGAGAGAAUAAACAACUUUAUAAGAUUAGGAGUUACUCAUACUAUCACCAAUUUAUUUUAGGAUUGAACCUCCUAGCUUGUAAGUGGGCUAAACUCUAACAGUCCUACUAUCACUAAUUGGUUUUAGGAUUUGAACAAAAUCUUACAUCUCUAUUAUAUAAGUCAAUAUGAAAGCUAUGCUGUCCCCUUUUGAAAAGACUUUUUAACCCUUCAUUCAAUAAAAAUACUUACAGAUUAAGAUUUUGAGAUUUUCCUCAAUAAUAGUCCUUAAUUCAAAAUAUUUAUAUCAAAACAAGUUCAAAGUAGUCAAAAUAAACUUUUAUAAAAUACGUGUAGUGAAAGAAAAAGUUUGUAAUUGAAGAACAAAGUAACAUAACUAAAAAAGUUUCUAAAUCAAUUACAAAACAAAACACAUAAAAUUUUAAUUUUGCCUAAACUUUGAAAUGCAAUAACAAUACCAACAUCCAUUAACAAGUAAUAGAAAUACCAAGAAACCACUUCUUCAUCAAGUAAUUUUUAUAUUUUGUAUUUACACCACAUGAUAUUUUUAAUUAGAGCUAAUGAUGAUUGUAAAUUACAUUCUUAAAAAUUGCAUUUAGAUAAAAUUUGAUAAUAAUUGCCAAAACAAUCCACGCACGCAUCGCGUGCAAAGGAGGCUAGUAUACUAUAUGUUAAAACGAGUACUUAAAAUCUUUUAUUGUCUAUUAAAGUAUGAUAUAUUGUUCAUAUUCUUCUCCUAUCACAUGUUGUAAACAGGAAUAUAAAGUGAAUGAUAUCAUUGAUAAUUGAUAUGAGAGGUGUAAAAUCAUAAGUUCUCUAUUUUGAAAUAAGUGAAACCUUAUUAAGAACUAUUUUAUUUAUUUUAGAAUAGAAAAAUUACAUAAAUCAACAUCCGACUACAUAGGCUUCAACUCUUCAACUUCCAUCUCAUGAAUGCCCGAGAAAUGUGCUGGAGUACCAUAGUUAUGCAUGGACACUAACACUGUAAUGUUUUGGUCUGUAGGUCCCACAUAAUUUCCAUCAAAAUUGUUGUUUCCAUCACUUUCUAGUGAAAAGAAGAUAAAUUAUCUAUGCUUGUGAUUGUUGCUUUCCAACAAAUUUUCUUCCUUUUUCCUGAUAAAGUGGUGGCAAAGUAAGCCCUGUAGAGUUGAAAGUGAUUGGUUAACGAAGAACUUAAGUCGGCAGAGGAAGUUGACAAAAAAAGCACAGUACCAUGUAGUUGUACUCAGUACUCCAAUUGUUUUUGCGAUAUCAAAAAGACUAAAUAUUUCCAUUAGUUGUCUAGAAUACAAAUAAUACAUUGUUUGCAUGUCAA
This is a long non-coding RNA of Beta vulgaris subsp. vulgaris (sugar beet), 2006 nucleotides long. RefSeq lists it as uncharacterized. Lineage: Eukaryota; Viridiplantae; Streptophyta; Magnoliopsida; Caryophyllales; Amaranthaceae. The record is from RefSeq and is a predicted model, not a curated record. The transcript has 2 exons.